AGAUGCGAUCAUACCAGCACUAAAGCACCAGAUCCCAUCGGAACUCCGAAAUUAAGCGUGCUUGGGCGAGAGUAGUACUAGGAUGGGUGACCUCCUGGAAGUCCUCGUGUUGCAUUCC
Molecule: ribosomal RNA, 118 nt
Filed under: Triticum dicoccoides
Lineage: Eukaryota; Viridiplantae; Streptophyta; Magnoliopsida; Poales; Poaceae
Source: RNAcentral